RNAcentral lists this ribosomal RNA (153 nucleotides) under Hemileia vastatrix. RNAcentral describes it as "5.8S rRNA". It matches the Rfam family "5.8S ribosomal RNA". Rfam says of the family: 5.8S ribosomal RNA (5.8S rRNA) is a component of the large subunit of the eukaryotic ribosome. It is transcribed by RNA polymerase I as part of the 45S precursor that also contains 18S and 28S rRNA. Lineage: Eukaryota; Fungi; Basidiomycota; Pucciniomycetes; Pucciniales; Zaghouaniaceae. The record is from RNAcentral.
ACUUUUAACAAUGGAUCUCUUGGCUCUCAACUUCGAUGAAGAACACAGUGAAAUGUGAUAAGUAAUGUGAAUUGCAGAAUUCAGUGAAUCAUCGAAUUUUUGAACCCAUAUUGCCCCUUUUGGCUAUUCCAAAAGGCACCCCCUGUUGGGAGU